GACGAACGCUGGCGGCGUGCCUAAUACAUGCAAGUUGAGCGAUGAAGCUUGGUGCUUGCACCAAUUUGAAGAGCCGCGAACGGGUGAGUAACGCGUGGGGAAUCUGCCUUUGAGCGGGGGACAACAUUUGGAAACGAAUGCUAAUACCGCAUAAUAACUUUAAACAUAAGUUUUAAGUUUGAAAGAUACAAUUGCAUCACUCAAAGAUGAUCCCGCGUUGUAUUAGCUAGUUGGUGAGGUAAAGGCUCACCAAGGCGAUGAUACAUAGCCGACCUGAGAGGGUGAUCGGCCACAUUGGGACUGAGACACGGCCCAAACUCCUACGGGAGGCAGCAGUAGGGAAUCUUCGGCAAUGGACGAAAGUCUGACCGAGCAACGCCGCGUGAGUGAAGAAGGUUUUCGGAUCGUAAAACUCGGUUGGUAGAGAAGAACGUUGGUGAGAGUGGAAAGCUCAUCAAGUGACGGUAACUACCCAGAAAGGGACGGCUAACUACGUG
RNAcentral lists this ribosomal RNA (497 nucleotides) under uncultured bacterium. RNAcentral describes it as "partial 16S ribosomal RNA". It matches the Rfam family "Bacterial small subunit ribosomal RNA", at positions 28 to 507 of the family's 1533-position model. The record is from RNAcentral.